AUACGGGAGGCAGCAGCAAGGGAUUUUCCCCAAUGGGCGCAAGCCUGAGGGAGCAACGCCGCGUGCGGGAUGACGGCCUUCGGGUUGUAAACCGCUUUUCGGGGGGAAGACAAUGACGGUACCCCCGGAAUAAGCCCCGGCUAACUCUGUGCCAGCAGCCGCGGUAAUACAGAGGGGGCAAGCGUUGUCCGGACUGACUGGGCGUAAAGCGCACGCAGGCGGUCGCGGGCGUCGGUGCUGAAAGUCCACCGCUUAACGGUGGAUCGCGUGCCGAUACGCCGCGACUGGAGCCAUGUAGAGGUCCGUGGAAUUGCCGGUGUAGUGGUGAUAUGCGUAGAUAUCGGCAGGAACACCCAAGGGGAAGCCAACGGACUGGGCAUGGGCUGACGCUCAUGUGCGACAGCGUGGGGAGCGAACUGGAUUAGAUACCCUGGUAGC
This 438-nucleotide ribosomal RNA is filed under the name uncultured bacterium. RNAcentral's name for it is "bacterial SSU rRNA". It matches the Rfam family "Bacterial small subunit ribosomal RNA", at positions 339 to 794 of the family's 1533-position model. The record is from RNAcentral.